UGUGGUUUAAUUUGAAGAUACGCGUAGAACCUUACCCACUCUUGACAUCUUCUGCAAAGCUAUGGAGACAUAGUGGAGGUUAACAGAAUGACAGAUGGUGCAUGGUUGUCGUCAGCUCGUGUCGUGAGAUGUUCGGUUAAGUCCUGCAACGAGCGCAACCCUUAUCCUUAGUUACUACCAUUUAGUUGAGCACUCUAAGGAGACUGCCCGAGUAAUCGGGAGGAAGGUGGGGACGACGUCAAAUCAUCAUGCCUCUUACGAGUGGGGCUACACACGUGCUACAAUGGACGGUACAAA
RNAcentral lists this ribosomal RNA (297 nucleotides) under Escherichia coli. Its description in RNAcentral is "partial 16S ribosomal RNA". It matches the Rfam family "Bacterial small subunit ribosomal RNA", at positions 940 to 1243 of the family's 1533-position model. Lineage: Bacteria; Pseudomonadati; Pseudomonadota; Gammaproteobacteria; Enterobacterales; Enterobacteriaceae. The record is from RNAcentral.